RNAcentral lists this ribosomal RNA (253 nucleotides) under uncultured bacterium. RNAcentral describes it as "partial 16S ribosomal RNA". It matches the Rfam family "Bacterial small subunit ribosomal RNA", at positions 524 to 776 of the family's 1533-position model. The record is from RNAcentral.
GACGGAGGAUGCAAGUGUUAUCCGGAAUCACUGGGCGUAAAGCGUCUGUAGGUGGUCAAAUAAGUCAACUGUUAAAUCUUAAGGCUCAACCUCAAAAUCGCAGUCGAAGCUAUUAGACUAGAGUAUAGUAGGGGUAAAGGGAAUUUCCAGUGGAGCGGUGAAAUGCGUAGAGAUUGGAAAGAACACCGAUGGCGAAGGCACUUUACUGGGCUAUUACUAACACUCAGAGACGAAAGCUAGGGUAGCAAAUGGG